This 253-nucleotide ribosomal RNA is filed under the name uncultured bacterium. RNAcentral's name for it is "partial 16S ribosomal RNA". It matches the Rfam family "Bacterial small subunit ribosomal RNA", at positions 524 to 776 of the family's 1533-position model. The record is from RNAcentral.
UACAGAGGUUGCAAGCGGUAAUCGGAAUUACUGGGCGUAAAGCGUGCGUAGGUGGUUUGUUAAGUCAGGCGUGAAAUCCCUGGGCUCAACCUGGGAACUGCGUUUGAUACUGGCAGACUCGAGUGUGGUAGAGGGUAGUGGAAUUCCGCAUGUAGCAGUGAAAUGCGUAGAUAUGCGGAGGAACACCAGUGGCGAAGGCGGCUACCUGGACCAACACUGACACUGAGGCACGAAGGCGUGGGGAGCAAACAGG